RNAcentral lists this small nuclear RNA (165 nucleotides) under Erinaceus europaeus (western European hedgehog). RNAcentral's name for it is "U1 spliceosomal RNA (ENSEEUG00000017323.1)". It matches the Rfam family "U1 spliceosomal RNA". Rfam says of the family: U1 is a small nuclear RNA (snRNA) component of the spliceosome (involved in pre-mRNA splicing). Its 5' end forms complementary base pairs with the 5' splice junction, thus defining the 5' donor site of an intron. Lineage: Eukaryota; Metazoa; Chordata; Mammalia; Eulipotyphla; Erinaceidae. The record is from RNAcentral.
CUACAUCCAUGGCAUGGGCAAUGUUAUGAUCAUGAAGGUGGUUUUUUCCAUGGCAAAGCUUGUCCAUUGCACACCUGAUGUGCUGACCCUGUGACUUUUUAAACAUGUGGGAGACUUGACUGCAUAACUUGUGGUCCCAAGGGGCUGAUUAAUGCUCUCUCCUAG